AACAACACGUUCGCUCUGAGAGCAUUUCAACCUCGUAAAAAGCACAAUGUUUUGUUUUGACGUCUCCGCGCAGACAUGCAAAUACACGUCCGGCUCUUUCCGGCGCCGUCUCCUCCCUUUGUUUGGUUGUUUUUCCUCUUUUCCCCGGAAGAGAGGCUUAAAGUGAUAGCAGGACAACAAAGGCGGGUGGGUGAUCAUCCUAAGAGGUGCACCUUAUUGGAGAGACGAUGUCACGGAGCCGACUCGAACCCGCUUCCCUCCUGCAACUGAGUGUCACAGUUCCUCCUGUUGCUGCUCGCCCAGACACGCCCCCGCUCACGCUGAGCGCAGCACGCCCACGCAGCAACAAGCCUGCAGACCAUCGGCAAUCUGCACACCUGGGACUGAUAAGGGCGAACUGGAUAAAGGACCAGUGGACCCAAGGAUCUAUGCGGGAACUUAGUUUACCUCUUUGUAUACCUGCCUUCCCGAGUCUCCCCCUUUGUUAUCUCCCGUUGUUUCCCCCGUGGUUUUGGACUGCCUUCCUCGAUCUUCAACCCUCGCCUGGACACGGACUCUGACGCCUCUCUCUCGCCCUGGAUCUUCUGCCUGCCACAUGGACUGCCUUUCCUGCCUUGUUCCUUCUCCUCGUUUCAACAUUUAGUAAGACUCAACAGCUAAUUAUUCAUACACAUAGUCUUCCACCAUACACCCCUUCUGGAUAUUAGUUCACACUCCAUUUUUUUAACAUGUAAAGCGACUUUGGGUACUUAGAAAAGCGCUAUAUAAAUCCCAGGUAUUAUUAUUAUUAUUUCCGUAGUUAGGGACGAGUCCCUUUGGGACAGAGGACCCUAUUGUAUUUAUUAUUAUUAUUGUUUUAUUAUUAUAUAUAUUGUAAUAUAUAUAAUAAAAUACAUAGAGCUAGACCU
Molecule: long non-coding RNA, 908 nt
Organism: Entelurus aequoreus (snake pipefish)
Lineage: Eukaryota; Metazoa; Chordata; Actinopteri; Syngnathiformes; Syngnathidae
Exons: 3
Source: RefSeq, a predicted model, not a curated record